UACGUAGGGGGCAAGCGUUGUCCGGAAUCAUUGGGCGUAAAGCGCGUGUAGGCGGCUCGGUAAGUCUGCUGUGAAAGUCCAGGGCUCAACCCUGGGAUGCCGGUGGAUACUGUCGAGCUCGAGUCCGGAAGAGGCGAGUGGAAUUCCUGGUGUAGCGGUGAAAUGCGCAGAUAUCAGGAGGAACACCGGUGGCGAAGGCGGAUCUCUGGGCCUUACCUGACGCUGAGGCGCGAAAGCUAGGGGAGCGAACAGG
Molecule: ribosomal RNA, 253 nt
Filed under: uncultured bacterium
Lineage: Bacteria
Description: partial 16S ribosomal RNA
Rfam family: Bacterial small subunit ribosomal RNA
Source: RNAcentral